Molecule: ribosomal RNA, 419 nt
Filed under: uncultured bacterium
Lineage: Bacteria
Description: bacterial SSU rRNA
Rfam family: Bacterial small subunit ribosomal RNA
Source: RNAcentral
GGGGAAUAUUGCACAAUGGGCGCAAGCCUGAUGCAGCGACGCCGCGUGGGGGAUGACGGCCUUCGGGUUGUAAACCUCUUUCAGUAUCGGCGAAGCUCCAGGGUUUUCUUUGGGGUGACGGUAGGUACAGAAGAAGCACCGGCCAACUACGUGCCAGCAGCCGCGGUAAUACGUAGGGUGCGAGCGUUGUCCGGAAUUACUGGGCGUAAAGAGCUCGUAGGUGGUUUGUCGCGUUGUCCGUGAAAACUCACAGCUCAACUGUGGGCGUGCGGGCGAUACGGGCAGACUAGAGUACUGUAGGGGAGACUGGAAUUCCUGGUGUAGCGGUGGAAUGCGCAGAUAUCAGGAGGAACACCGGUGGCGAAGGCGGGUCUCUGGGCAGUAACUGACGCUGAGGAGCGAAAGCGUGGGGAGCGAAC